GGGUGUCCCUGCUUUGACAGCCCAGAUACAACAAUUGGAAGGCUACAGUGAAGACCAGCAUGGCCCCAGGGCAAGGGUGACAUCUGUAAAGUGUCUUAUGGUUUU
Small nuclear RNA from Onychomys torridus (southern grasshopper mouse), 105 nucleotides. Lineage: Eukaryota; Metazoa; Chordata; Mammalia; Rodentia; Cricetidae. The record is from RefSeq and is a predicted model, not a curated record.